AGUGAACGCUGGCGGUAGGCCUAACACAUGCAAGUCGAACGGCAGCACAGUAAGAGCUUGCUCUUACGGGUGGCGAGUGGCGGACGGGUGAGGAAUGCAUCGGAAUCUACUUUUUCGUGGGGGAUAACGUAGGGAAACUUACGCUAAUACCGCAUACGACCUACGGGUGAAAGCAGGGGAUCUUCGGACCUUGCGCGAUUGAAUGAGCCGAUGUCGGAUUAGCUAGUUGGCGGGGUAAAGGCCCACCAAGGCGACGCUCCGAAGCUGGUCUGAGAGGAUGAUCAGCCACACUGGAACGGAGACACGGUCCAGACUCCUACGGGAGGCAGCAGUGGGGAAUAUUGGACAAAGGGCGCAAGCCUGAUCCAGCCAGACCGCGUGGGUGAAGAAGGCCUUCGGGUUGUAAAGCCCUUUUGUUGGGAAAGAAAAGCGGCAGAUUGAUACGCCGCUGUUCUGACGGUACCCAAACAAUAAGCACCGGCUAACUUCGUG
This 492-nucleotide ribosomal RNA is filed under the name uncultured bacterium. Its description in RNAcentral is "partial 16S ribosomal RNA". It matches the Rfam family "Bacterial small subunit ribosomal RNA", at positions 29 to 507 of the family's 1533-position model. The record is from RNAcentral.